This is a small nucleolar RNA of Ornithorhynchus anatinus (platypus), 138 nucleotides long. NCBI's taxonomy places the organism in Eukaryota, Metazoa, Chordata, Mammalia, Monotremata, Ornithorhynchidae. The record is from RefSeq and is a predicted model, not a curated record.
CCUCUCUCAGGAUUGCAACUGGAGAGUUUCCACUACUAUACCAGUCUCAGCUAUGGGAGGGAGAGUCAAGCAGAGGCAUACCCAUUCCAUUACUAGCAUGGGCAGUGUCUAGAGAGUGGAAGUCAAUCUGCUUCAAGU